RNAcentral lists this ribosomal RNA (1791 nucleotides) under Triticum aestivum (bread wheat). Its description in RNAcentral is "partial small subunit ribosomal RNA". Lineage: Eukaryota; Viridiplantae; Streptophyta; Magnoliopsida; Poales; Poaceae. The record is from RNAcentral.
AUGAACAGUAGACUUUGUGCACCGGUUACGAACGAUGAAAUAGAGCAAGCUCUUUUUAUGAUGCACCCUGAUAGAUCACCAGGCCCUGAUGGAUUUACCGCUGGCUUCUACAUCCGUCAUUGGAACAUUUUAAAAGACACGGUAUGUGAGGCAGUGAGGGAUUUCCUAGAAGGUGGUCAAAUGCCUGAGAUGGUUAAUUCCACGGUGUUGGUUCUCAUACCGAAGGUUAAAAACCCUCAACAUCUCAGUCAAUAUCGACCUAUUUCUUUAUGUAACGUGCUUUACAAGUUAGCAUCGAAGGUGUUAGCCUUGAGAUUGAGACCGUUACUGCAAGGAUUAAUCUUUGAAGAGCAGAGCGCUUUCGUUCCGGGCCGACUGAUUGCGGACAACGUACUCUUGGCAUAUGAGUUUAUCCAUUUUUUGAAGAGGAAGACAGGAAAAGCCAGGGCUUGUGCGGUGAAGCUUGAUAUGGCAAAAGCUUAUGAUCGUGUAGAAUGGUCAUACUUGAGAGAUAUCAUGAGCAAACUUGGCUUUGCAAAUGCAUGGAUUAAUAGAGUUAUGUCCUGUGUGGAAACAGUUUCUUUUUCAGUUAGGGUUAAUGGCAAUUACUCUGAAAUAUUCAAACCUUCGAAGGGUAUUAGGCAAGGUGAUCCAAUUUUUCCGUAUCUUUUUCUCCUAUUUGCAGAAGGCUUCUCUUGUAUGUUGAAGAAGUACGGAGCUGGACAUUUAUCUCGUGGAGUGAGAGUUGGUAUUCACUGUCCAUGGAUUUCUCACCUUCUUUUUGCAGAUGACUGUAUGGUAUUCACUCAGGCGACAACUGAAAGUGCUAAUAGAUUAGAAGAAGUUCUGGAAAGAUACCGUAUUAGAUCGGGCCAAAUGGUUAACAAACAGACAGCUAUACUUUUUAGCAGGAAUUCGGAUGACAAUAUGAAGGAGGCUAUCCAUCAAGGCACGGAGAUUACAGUUGAGGCACUAGUUGAGAAAUAUUUGGGUCUCCCUACAGCUUUGGGAAGGUCCACUGAUGAGAAUUUUCAACAUAUUUUGGCUACUAUUAAGAGACUUGUGGCGGGAUGGGCACCUAAACUUCUUAGUAGAGCUGGACGUGAGGUGCUUAUUAAGUCUAUAUGCCAAGCUAUCCCAACUUACUCGAUGAGCUGUUUCAAACUUUCCAAGAAGUUAUGUAAAAAGAUCACUGCAGCAGUGGCUCGGUUCUGGUGGGGAGGAGAUGAAACCAAAAGGAAAAUGCAUUGGUUUAAAUGGAAGGAUCUCGCUAUACCAAAGGUUUGUGGUGGUAUGGGGUUCAAAGAUCUUGUACUCUUCAAUAAAGCUAUGUUAGCAAAGCAAGGGUGGCGAUUGAUUUGUAAUCCCGACUCGUUGUGUGCUCAGGUCUUGAGAGGUAAAUAUUAUCAUGAAGGUAAUCUAUUGACAGCCGGAAAUAAGAGGAAUGCUUCUCAUACUUUGAGAGCGAUUUUGUAUGGUCGUGAAGCUCUAAAGUUGGGUCUAAUUAAAUGCAUUGGUGAUGGUGCAAGCACGAGAAUUUGGGAUGAUCCUUGGAUACCUUCAAACCCAACUUUAAAACCAAUUGUAAGGCUUCCUUCAUCGGAUGUUACCCUUGUGGAGGAAUUGAUGAACCCGGUUACGGGAGAAUGGGAUGAAGAAGUAUUGGAAACAAAUUUUGUUCCGGUCGAUGCCCAGGCUAUAAUGAGAAUUCCAACUGGGCGCCUUGAUGGAGACUUGUGGGGAUGGCAUUUGGAAAGGAACGGUAAUUUUUUCAGUCCUCUCUGCUUAUAG